This 468-nucleotide ribosomal RNA is filed under the name uncultured bacterium. Its description in RNAcentral is "partial 16S ribosomal RNA". It matches the Rfam family "Bacterial small subunit ribosomal RNA", at positions 28 to 507 of the family's 1533-position model. The record is from RNAcentral.
GACGAACGCUGGCGGCGUGCUUAAUACAUGCAAGUCGAACGGAAAGGCCCUGCGUUUGUGGGGUGAACGAGUGGCGAAAGGGUGAGUAUCACGUGAGUAACCUGCCCUUGUCUUUGGGAUAACUUCAGGAAACACGGGCUAAUACCGGAUAGGAGCUCCUGCUGCAGGGUGGGCGUGGGUAAGUUUCGGCGGUUGGGGAUGGACUCGCGGGUUAUGGGCUUCUUGGUGGGGUAGUGGCUUACCAAGGCUUUGACGGCUAGUCUGCCUGAGAGGGUGACCGGCCACAUGGGGACUGAGAUACGGCCCAGACUCCUACGGGAGGCAGCAGUGGGGAGUAUUGCACAAUGGGCGGAAGCUUGAUGUAGCAACGCCGCGUGCGGGAUGACGGCCUUCGGGUUGUAAACCGCUUUCGCAUGUGACGAAGCGUGAGUGACGGUAAUGGGUAAAGAAGCACCGGCUAACUACGUG